RNAcentral lists this ribosomal RNA (292 nucleotides) under uncultured bacterium. RNAcentral's name for it is "partial 16S ribosomal RNA". It matches the Rfam family "Bacterial small subunit ribosomal RNA", at positions 505 to 796 of the family's 1533-position model. The record is from RNAcentral.
GUGUCAGCCGCCGCGGUAAAACGUAGGAGGCGAGCGUUAUCCGGAUUUACUGGGUGUAAAGCGCGUGCAGGCGGUUGGCUAAGUUGGGUGUGAAAGCUCCUGGCUCAACUGGGAGAGGUCGCUCAAGACUGGCCGACUGGAGAGCAGUAAGGGAAGGUGGAAUUCCGGGUGUAGUGGUGAAAUGCGUAGAUAUCCGGAGGAACACCAGUGGCGAAGGCGGCCUUCUGGACUGCUUCUGACGCUCAGACGCGAAAGCUAGGGGAGCAAACGGGAUUAGAAACCCCCGUAGUCC